Molecule: ribosomal RNA, 763 nt
Filed under: Chromohalobacter sp.
Lineage: Bacteria; Pseudomonadati; Pseudomonadota; Gammaproteobacteria; Oceanospirillales; Halomonadaceae
Description: bacterial SSU rRNA
Rfam family: Bacterial small subunit ribosomal RNA
Source: RNAcentral
AAAGCACUUUCAGCGAGGARGAAANGCGUGCCGGYCAAUACCCGGUACGGACGACAUCACUCGCAGAAGNAAGCACSGGCUAACUCCGUGCCAGCAGCCGCGGUAAUACGGAGGGUGCAAGCGUUAAUCGGAAUUACUGGGCGUAAAGCGCGCGUAGGCGGCGUGUCACGCCGGGUGUGAAAGCCCCGGGCUCAACCUGGGAACGGCAUCCGGAACGGGCAGGCUAGAGUGCAGGAGAGGAAGGUAGAAUUCCCGGUGUAGCGGUGAAAUGCGUAGAGAUCGGGAGGAAUACCAGUGGCGAAGGCGGCCUUCUGGACUGACACUGACGCUGAGGUGCGAAAGCGUGGGUAGCAAACAGGAUUAGAUACCCUGGUAGUCCACGCCGUAAACGAUGUCGACUAGCCGUUGGGUCCCUUGAGGACUUAGUGGCGCAGUUAACGCGAUAAGUCGACCGCCUGGGGAGUACGGCCGCAAGGUUAAAACUCAAAUGAAUUGACGGGGGCCCGCACAAGCGGUGGAGCAUGUGGUUUAAUUCGAUGCAACGCGAAGAACCUUACCUACCCUUGACAUCCUGCGAACCCGGAAGAGAUUCCGGGGUGCCUUCGGGAGCGCARAGACAGGUGCUGCAUGGCUGUCGUCAGCUCGUGUUGUGAAAUGUUGGGUUAAGUCCCGUAACGAGCGCAACCCUUGUCCCUAUUUGCCAGCGAUUCGGUCGGGAACUCUANGGGAGACUGCCGGUGACAAACCGGARGNAAGGUGGGGA